GGCCCCAUCGUCUAGCCUGGCCUAGGACACCAGAUUUUCAUUCUGAUAACAGGGGUUCGAAUCCCCUUGGGGUCAACA
Molecule: transfer RNA, 78 nt
Filed under: Chlamydiota bacterium
Lineage: Bacteria; Pseudomonadati; Chlamydiota
Description: Chlamydiae bacterium (freshwater metagenome) tRNA-Glu
Rfam family: tRNA
About the family: Transfer RNA (tRNA) molecules are approximately 80 nucleotides in length. Their secondary structure includes four short double-helical elements and three loops (D, anti-codon, and T loops).
Source: RNAcentral